Molecule: long non-coding RNA, 1902 nt
Organism: Neopsephotus bourkii (Bourke's parrot)
Lineage: Eukaryota; Metazoa; Chordata; Aves; Psittaciformes; Psittacidae
Exons: 2
Source: RefSeq, a predicted model, not a curated record
GCAGAAAUCCAGAAACCUCUACAGUACUCCUUUUCCCUGGACCCACAAGCCUCUCUUCUUUAUAUAGAACAAUGAUUUUUCUCCUUGCUAUUUGCAGGUGCUCCUGACCCAACAGCAGGUGCAAGCAUAGAUGAUGAAAACUGCUGGCAUUUGGAUGAGGAACAGGUCCAAGAACAGGUUAAACUCUUCCUCUCCCAUGGUGGAUACCAAGGAUCAGGAAAGCAGCUCAAUUUACUUUUUUCCAAGGUGCGAGAGAUGCUAAAGAUGAGAGAUUCAAAUGGAGCUCGCAUGUUGAUGUUGAUAACAGAACAGUUCAUGGCUGACCCUCGUCUGUCACACUGGAGACAACAAGGAAAUGCAAUGACUGACAAGUAUAGGCAGCUCUGGGAUGAACUGGGUAAAUGUAUAGACUUUAAAAUCAUUUAGGUGUUCAUUUGUAUAAUGAAUAAAUAAUUACAUAUUUGGGAUGGAAGGAAACUUUAUUGUGGUACUAGGUAAAGCAAGACAGAGUUUUCUGCAGUUUUGCUUCUUCAGUUACGGUUGGGUGAAAUUGAAUUUGUGAUCUACUACAUGAGACAGCAGGAGCGGAAGCAUGGUAUGAAACAAGUGUGAUUACAACAGGUUGUAAGUACCUGAGGAUCUAAAAAGAAUAAAGCAAAAAGUAGAAAUGUAGCUAUACAACUGAGGGUAAGUAUAUAAGCCACUAGCACAAACUGAAAAGAUUAAGUGAGAAAUCGAUUCACGACUAGAGAAAAAUAGAAGGCAAAAAGAGAAAAAUCAUUAGGAGUGUGAGGAGAUAGCAACAAAGGAGAGCAGAAGUCCAUUACUGAGCAGGAAAGGAGAUCAAUUAAGAGUGGGCUAUAACAAUUAACACUGCUCUACAGGAAAGGUCAGUUGUGACUAGAUAUAUGACUUGUACAAUGGAGAGAGGAACACAGACUGAAAUGGGAAAGGAAUAUUUAAACUGGUAAAGUCUGAAGACACUUGCUCUAAAGUGUUUGAGAAACUUGCUGACACAGUUUUGAACUGCUGCUUCAUGAGUUCUCAAAAUCUGUAGGAAUUUGUGGUAGGGAGAGGAAAUUUAAAACAACUUGAAAGUAGAUAUCACCAGUAUUUUAAGGUAGGUAGGUGAGUGGAAAGAAUAAUAUUAAGUAACCACCAGCAUGCUUUCCUAGAUGUAAGGUAUUGGAACAAAUUACUAACCAGUAAGUAUGUAAGCAUAUAGAAGAUAAAAGUGAUAAAAGAAAACCUUAAAUAUUUAAAAUACAAUGGUAAUUCUAAUUUGUUUCUCUAAAAAAUAAUUCACUGAGUGUAUGAGUAAAGGAAUUAAUGCAUAUAUCUUAUCUAUAGUAAGGUUUUGGAUGCUGUCUUGGAGGCUUUCUCAAAGCAAGUUGAAGACACAGCCAAAUGGAAUUGCUUUGUGAUUCAUGAAACUUGGAGUAGUUACCUGUGCUCUCACUCAAUCUGGAAAGACACUUCAAGUCUAGACUUAAAGGAAAGUCUUGAGACAUGUUCUGGUAAAACCUCCCAACCCCACCACCACCACCCCAAAAAACCCCAACCAAGACCCAGCAAAACAACAACACAAAACUUACUGAUGACACCCCUUGGGACAAUAUGUAGACACCACAGAGAACAAAGCCAAAACAAGUAAUGCUCUUGGUACACUUUAAAGAUCCAAAACCAAGUUAAAUGACAUUAAAUCCAAGCAAGAAUAGCAUGUUUCAUUUAGAGAGGAAAAGUCAAAAGCAAAAUUUAUGUUUUCUACUGUUAAAGGUUAAAGAUAGCCAUGACUGAUAGCAUGUUGUCUGGUAGGCUUGACUGGAUAUGACCCGGUUAGCAUAAAUUAUGUUCAUUCUAAAUGAAGCAUUAGGCUAAUAAAGCACUGUCUGUCUAUAGUUG